This 1410-nucleotide ribosomal RNA is filed under the name Triticum aestivum (bread wheat). RNAcentral describes it as "partial small subunit ribosomal RNA". The record is from RNAcentral. Lineage: Eukaryota; Viridiplantae; Streptophyta; Magnoliopsida; Poales; Poaceae.
AAUCUAGCUGCCAGCAUCCUCCUCCAUAUUGUCAACGCCAUGACACUAGCAGCGGCCUGCCUCCUAAAAGUUGCACAAUGGCUUGCCGUUGCAGGCGAGCCACUUCGUGCCCUCUGGCCAAUCCACCUACUCAUGCCCAUUGUUCUUCCAACUGUUGCAGCUACUGUCUACCUGGCAUAUCGCCCUAGAGCCACAUACCUUGUUGACUAUGCUUGCUUCCGGCCUAGCCCCAACUAUCGAUUCCCAAGGGCGGCCUUACUCGAGCAUGCACAUAUGUCGACCUUCCUUGCCGAUUCUACCAUUAACUUCAUAGCACGAGUUCUUGAGCACUCCGGUCUUAGUGAUGAGACUUGUGUUCCACCGGCACUUUCUUACAUUGAGCCAUAUUGUAGUCUGGAUGAAGCCCGCGCCGAGGUAGAACUGGUCGUCUUCUCAGUGGUUGAUGAUCUACUGGCUAAGACGAGGAUUGACCUUGAUACGAUUGACAUUCUGGUCACUAACUGCAGUGUCUUUUCACCGGUUCCAUCGAUUGCCGACAUGAUUGUCAGCAGGUAUAAGCUGCGAGGUGACCUUCGCGUCAUCAACCUCUCGGGGAUGGGUUGCAGUGCAACAGUAACUGCAGUUGGGCUUGCAAGGAACAUCUUGGAGGUCAUGCCUUUUGGAUCGCAAGCGCUAGUGGUGUCAACGGAGACCAUCGGACCCAACCACUAUGCGGGUAACAACCGCUCCAUGCAGUUGGUUAAUAUCUUGUUCCGCAUGGGCGGUGCAGCCGUCCUGUUAUCGAGUUCUAGGUCCAAGGCUAGGUUCCGCCUCACACAUGUUGUGCGGACGAUCACUGCUAGCGAUGACAAUGCCUACCGGUGCGUCUACCAAGAGGAAGAUGACGAGGGAAUCAAGGGCGCCAAUCUGUCAAAGAACCUCAUGGCUAUUGCUGGAGACGCUCUCAAGGCCAACAUCACGGCCAUGGGGCCACUUGUCUUGCCUACAUCAGAGCUGAUCAAGUUUCUUCUUGUCUCCUUGGCGAGGAAGGUGUUCCUUGGGAGGAGGAUAAGGCCUUACAUUCCCAAUUUCCGUACAGCGUUCAAACACUUCUGCAUCCACGUUGGUGGACCAGCGGUGAUCAGCUCGGUACAACGUGGCCUUAAUCUAUCCGAUGAGCAUGUCGAGCCUUCACGAAUGACACUGCAUCAAUUCGGAAAUCAGUCAAGUGCAUCUGUGUGGUACGAGUUGGGAUACAUAGAAGCCAAGGGUCGAAUGCUAAAAGGUAAUAGGGUCUGGAUGAUUGGUUUCGGAGCUGGAUAUGAAUGCAACUCCGCAGUGUGGGUGUGCAUCCGUACAUGUACAUCUCACGGUGACCAUGGGCCAUGGGCUAGUUGCAUCCAUCGAUACCCACUAGAUGUGCAGAAAUAA